CUAACAAAAUGCAAUGGAUGUUAACCUUAAAUGUCUGUAUAUUUUGAUACAAUCACUUUACAAGGACUGCCAAUCUCCAUAUUUGGGUCGCGUUACACAUUUACUUUUGUGUUGAUUCCAUUUUAUUCUUUAGGGUUUCUACUAGAGAAGCAAGAAUCAUUAGAGACAUUCUCUCUUGCUACUUAGUUGUUAGUGGUCAAACUGUCAAUUUGAGUAAAUUUGCUAUUGUUUUCAAUUCCAAUACUCCAUAUCAAGAGAACCAGCAAAUUGCAAACUUUCUUCAAGUUCAAAACAUUGAUGUACAAGAUAGAUUUCUUGGUUUGGUCUUCCUACCAAGAUUCCAUGUUCUAAACAACAAGCUUUUGAUUUUAUCUAAGAUAGGGUGGCUCAGAAAACUCAAGGCUGGAAAGAAAAACUUUUGUCUAAGGGAGGUAAAGAGACUGUCAUCAAAAUAAUAUCCUCAACCAUGCCUGCGUAUGCCAUGUCUUGUUUUAAAUUUCUAGCUUCUCUUUGUUACAAAAUGAACAGUUUGGUGGCAAAUUUCUGGUAGAGUCAAUAGCAAGAGGAGAGAAAACUGCAUUGGGUUGCUUGGGACCAUCUGUGUGAUUCUAAGAAGAGUGACCUUGGGUUUCAGGAUAUGGAAAAUUUUAAUAUGGCUCUCCUAGCCAAACAAGAUUGGCGCCUUAUAUCCAAUCCGGAAUCACUUCUUAUCUGUCUGUUAAAAGGGAAAUAUUACCCUUUCUCAUCUUUUUUGCAUCCUGGAAUUGGCAAAGCAUCUUGUGGAAUAGAAAAUUAUUGCAGAAAGGAAGAAUCUUGGGUUUCAUCUCUUUUUCCUCAUCCUCCCCAAGUUAAGCAGAAUGCAAAAGUUGUUUGGGUUUCUCAAUUGUGGGAUCGUGCCUUGCUAGAACGCCCAAACUUCUCUAGCAAAUUUCCACGAUGAUGUUAAACAGAUUAUGGCUAUUCCUAUCAAUCUAUUUCAGAGAGAAGACAAGCUGGCAUGGCAUUUUGAUUUCCAUUGCCAUUAUACAAUUCAGUCGGGUUAUAAGAUUGUACGUCAAUUUCAUUUGGCAAAAUACUCUCCCCAAUAUGAUGAUCCGGGUCCUCCUUCCUAAUUGCCUUAUUCUAUAUUUUGGAAGGAAUUUUGAAAGCGUCAAUUUCUGAGUAAAGUCAAAAUUUUCUUAUGGAAUUUAUUUAACCAAAGACUUCCCCGCAAUGAUCUUCUCGAUAAGCAUCUCCAGUACUUUGCUCCAGACUGUAAUUUCUAGGGGAAUAAAGAGACCUUGCACCAUCUGUUUUUAGAUUGCCUGAAAGCCAUAUCCAUAUGGAUUCACUUUCCCUUGCUGCUACGUUCAUCCUUGAUUGCUUACUCAUCCUUGAUUGACUAACUGGUUGGAAUUAAUGAGAACUCUCUCUAGCACUAUCCAGAUGGGGCGAAUCUUAUCAACUAGUAGGCUUUAUUCUUUGGCAAAAAUGGAAGUGCAAGAAUGCACUUGUUUUUAAUCAAGUUAAUCAGAAUUUCCACGAGGUUAUUGCUAUGGUACUCAAAAAUAAAAAAAGUUUCAAUGAGCUAUUUCUUUAGACAAUGUGCACGUCCAACAUCAGGCAUCCUGGAUCUGUUCAUCUCCCAAUUUCGUCAAAUUUAAUUUCGAUGCCGCUAUGGAUAAAACUCAUAAUAGGGGAUCGACUGCUGUUUUGGCUCGAGAAGAUGUUGGUCAAGUUGUGAACUAGUGCCGCAGCAUUUGGCCUUCAAUACAAGAUCCUUUGCUCCUAUAAAACAUCGCAUGUCGAGAAGCAGCAAAAUUAGCAUUAUCUCGAGAUUUUAAAAAGAUCAUUCUGGAGGGUCGGAAAUAAUUAUUGAUGCCUGGCAGAAUUUAAACUACCAAUGAUGUUCUAGAACUUUCUUCGAAUGCAGCCCAUAGUCAUGCCACAAAAGUUCCUUCAUAUUACCUAUUUUCAAUUAAUUGGAAAUUCAUAAAAAUAUUGGAGACACUUACUCAACUUUUUAUAACUCUGUAUUUUAAUUAAUUUAAUACUUAACCCUUCCAUCAUAGAGGGAAUUUUAAUUUUAUUCUUUUUCUUUAUUCAAUUAACAUGAAAUUCACAAAAACAUUCGGUUUCAUUCAAAUUCUGUCCUAAUGAAUGUGUUCUUUCUGAUUACUUGAUUAUUUUAUUUUGUUUUAU
Molecule: unclassified non-coding RNA, 2181 nt
Filed under: Hevea brasiliensis (rubber tree)
Lineage: Eukaryota; Viridiplantae; Streptophyta; Magnoliopsida; Malpighiales; Euphorbiaceae
Source: RNAcentral